AUUGGCGUGUGUGGGCAUGUUGGAUCCCUGCUCGGGCAGCGACGACGUGUCUUGCGCGCCUCUUCAGUCGUUGGCACGAGUGCUCGUCAGCCUUGGCCGACGUCGGUUUCCUGUGCUGUAUACCUUCCGCGAAGGCAUUCGGUCGGCCCGAACGUCCCGUUUCCGCCCUGUGCUGCGCCUCUCGGGGCUGCGGCGCGGGGUGGACCUCAAAGCGUCCGCCGUGUUCCACGUCCCGUGCACGCACACACGUGCUCGGGUUGUUGGCCCAUGGCGUCAUGCUCGAUCUCUCGGAUGCGGAACACCCGGUGGGUACGAGGCCUCGGCCUCUAUUUGCCCCGAAACAAGCGUUCUACGCUUCGUGCGAACGACGGUCGUGCCCGUUUUGGUCGGGUCCCCGCGGCUCGGCUCAUGCGGCGCCGGCGUCGGUGAGGAAUGCUAC
RNAcentral lists this unclassified non-coding RNA (439 nucleotides) under Paulownia tomentosa. RNAcentral describes it as "partial external transcribed spacer". Lineage: Eukaryota; Viridiplantae; Streptophyta; Magnoliopsida; Lamiales; Paulowniaceae. The record is from RNAcentral.